UACGUAGGGUGCAAGCGUUAUCCGGAAUUAUUGGGCGUAAAGAGCUCGUAGGCGGUUUGUCGCGUCUGCUGUGAAAACUGGAGGCUCAACCUCCAGCCUGCAGUGGGUACGGGCAGACUAGAGUGCGGUAGGGGAGAUUGGAAUUCCUGGUGUAGCGGUGGAAUGCGCAGAUAUCAGGAGGAACACCGAUGGCGAAGGCAGGUCUCUGGGCAUUAACUGACGCUGAGGAGCGAAAGCAUGGGGAGCGAACAGG
RNAcentral lists this ribosomal RNA (253 nucleotides) under uncultured bacterium. RNAcentral's name for it is "partial 16S ribosomal RNA". It matches the Rfam family "Bacterial small subunit ribosomal RNA", at positions 524 to 776 of the family's 1533-position model. The record is from RNAcentral.